This 560-nucleotide ribosomal RNA is filed under the name Phellinus pomaceus. RNAcentral's name for it is "partial large subunit ribosomal RNA". It matches the Rfam family "Eukaryotic large subunit ribosomal RNA", at positions 66 to 630 of the family's 3401-position model. Lineage: Eukaryota; Fungi; Basidiomycota; Agaricomycetes; Hymenochaetales; Hymenochaetaceae. The record is from RNAcentral.
UAACAGGAUUCCCCUAGUAACUGCGAGUGAAGAGGGAAAAGCUCAAAUUUAAAAUCUGGCGGGCUCUGUCCGUCCGAGUUGUAAUCUGGAGAAGCGUUUUCCGCGUCGGACCGUGCACAAGUCUCCUGGAACGGAGCGUCAUAGAGGGUGAGAAUCCCGUCCAUGGCACGGACCGCCGAUGCUCUGUGAUACGUUUUCAAAGAGUCGAGUUGUUUGGGAAUGCAGCUCAAAACGGGUGGUAAAUUCCAUCUAAAGCUAAAUAUUGGCGAGAGACCGAUAGCGAACAAGUACCGUGAGGGAAAGAUGAAAAGCACUUUGGAAAGAGAGUUAAACAGUACGUGAAAUUGUUGAAAGGGAAACGCUUGAAGUCAGUCGCGUCCGACGGAACUCAGCCUUGCUUCGGCCUGGUGUACUUUCCGUCGGACGGGUCAACAUCAGUUUUGACCGGUGGAAAAAGGUGGGGGGAAUGUAGCGCCGCUUCGGCGGCGUGUUAUAGCCCCUCGCUGUAUGCACCGGUCGGGACUGAGGACCGCAGCACGCCUUUUUGGCCGGGGGCUCGC